GAUGACCAUAGCAAGUCGGUACCACCCCUUCCCAUCCCGAACAGGACCGUGAAACGACUUUGCGCCGAUGAUAGUGCUGCAACCAGUGUGAAAGUAGGUUAUCGUC
RNAcentral lists this ribosomal RNA (106 nucleotides) under Massilia pinisoli. RNAcentral also lists the same sequence under 1 other name. Lineage: Bacteria; Pseudomonadati; Pseudomonadota; Betaproteobacteria; Burkholderiales; Oxalobacteraceae. The record is from RNAcentral.